GAAGGACUUCCGGUGGCUUCCAAGGCGACUCCGUAGUGGAUGCAGCGCCGGACGCCACAGCCGAAAAACAGAAUCUUGGAACUGGUUUAGUACAAUCCAGGUCGAGUUCCUUGUUUUUUAUCCGAGUGGCCGGCAGGCCCAUGUGCUGUCUUGUUUUUAACACAUCAGCUCUUGCCGGAAGCCGCUAAGAGAUAAAAUAGGAAGUCCCACCCUUCCCUUAGAGAAGGAAAACGGAGAGCCGAAGGAGUCAAUCUAAAUUCGAUGAGCGCGUCGGGCUCCAAGGCAGGCGCUGUCAGCCCGGGAGGGCUGUCUGGGAUUUCUAGAGGGUCCCAGAACGGGUUCUUCCCAGGCCGAUCCCGCCUGCUUCCUGCCCCGUCUCUCCACCCGCCUCCCGCCCUCUGUAAGGGACCCCGAGGGCGGCGCCGGAAACACGGAGAAGGCCCAGAACGGCGCGGGACCCGAGAGGCCUACGUUGGCAAACGCAGCCCGCUGCCCCUUUGCUCGCUUCCCCCGGGCCUGGAGUGGCUCCUGUCGCUUCUGGCGCUCCGAUUUCGAGAAAUGACUUUCAGCUGUGCAAGGCGAGAAUGCUACUUUAGAUGAUGAGAAAAAAUCUCUCGAAUGGCUCCCAAAAUGAGGUCCUUGUUUAAGAGGCCACAGGAAGCCGCUAGCCGAACUCUGAUACCAAAGAGGAGGCCAAGAAGCGGACUGUGGCUUGGUGACCUGUUUGGUAUUGCCAAAUUUUCAGCUUUUAUUAAAGCUGAAACACCUUGGCUGUUUAAAACGUUCGACAAGGACUUUUUUAUGAACGUUAACGGCACAGCAUACGGGUUUUUUGGAAAAAAAAAAAGGCAGGACUUCAGCCCGUCCGCCCCCUUGUGCAGGUCCAUUCAUGAACCUCGAGUUAGAGGCCUUUCUUCUGAAACUCAGAAUCUAGUAGGGAAGACCUGUGUAGACGAAUAAAAAUAAAUACAUCACAGCUUGUUAAGUGCUGUGACAAAGAGGCAGUGAAAUCCUGCUUGAGGUCAUCUGCCUUGCUAAAGAGGUUUGACUAUGUUGUAGGCACAGGGUUAGGGUUAGACUCUGUAAUGGGAAGUUAUGUGAUCAGAUUUCUGUUUAGGAAGAUCACUGGCCAGGCGGGGUGGCUUACGCCUGUAAUCCCAAUACUUUGGGAGGCCGAGUCGGUGGAUUGCUUGAGGCUAGGAUUUUGAGACCAGCCUGGGGAAACCGCGUCUCUACUAAAAAUUUGAAAUUAGCCAGGCAUGGUGGUGCGAGCCUGUAAUUCCAGCUACUUGGAGGCUGAGGCGGGAGAAUAGCUUGAACCCAGUGGCGGAGGCUGCAGUGAGCCGAGAUUGCGCCACUGCACUCCAGCCUGGGCGACAGAGCGAGAUUCCGUCUCAAAAAAAUCAUUCCAACGAGUGGAUAAAGAAAAUGUGAUAUAUAUGCACUAUGGAAUACUAAGCCAUAAGAAGGAAUGAAAUAAUGGCAUUUGCAGCAACCUAGAUGGAGUUGGAGACCAUUAUUCUAAGUGAAGUAACUCAAGAAUGGAAAACCAAAUAUUGUAUGUUCUCACUCGUAAGUGGGAGCUAAGCUGCGAAGAUGCAAAGGCAUAAGAAUGAUAUAGUGGACUUUGAGGACUCAAGGGUUGAAGGAUGAGACUACACAUUGGGUACAGUGUGCACUGCUUGGGUGAUGAGUGCACCAAAAUCUCAGAACUCACCACUGAAGAACUUCCCCAUGUAACCAAAAACCACCUGUUCCACAGAAACUAUCGAAAUAACAUUUUUAAAACUUUACUAUUUCUGAAUAAAAUUUACAUACAUUUCUCAGAAAAAAAAAUAUUUGGAAUUGAGGUAUCUAAUAGAGAACUGAGUUAAAUUAUUGCCACUUAAAAACACAAAGUGAUAUAGCCACUUUAUGAAUUAAUCAGUCAGCAGUGGCUAGGUUAUGCUUAGUGGUUUAUAACCAAAUCUUAGUUUAUAACAACAAAUGUGUAUUGUUAAUUCCCACUACAAGUUUAUAACGACAUUGCUGGAUGCUACACUCCAUGUCUCUUUGUGGGACCCAGGCUCAUGGGACUUCUGUUACCUGCAUUAGAGAGAGAGAAGACAACAAAAUAUGCACUGGUUCUUGAAGCUUUGGCCCAGAAGUAAAAUAUGUCUUUUACCUGUUCACAUUGCAUUGGGCCAGGGCAAUUAUCAUGGCUGCAAGUAACUUCAAAAGGAUGGGGAAGUGCGAUCUUGGCAUGUGUCAGAAGAAAUGAAAACAUUUGGUGAAGAGCAUUAAUGACUGUCUUUACAGGAAAAAAGCAAUCAAAUAGACAUGAUUGCUUGUUUCAGUUUCAUCAUUUCCUACUGUGUUACCUAAACUUUCUGAGCCCCAGUUUCUUAUUACUAAAAUAAAAUAAAGAUGAUAUUCACUUCAAGGACUUUGUGUUAACUAGGGUAAAAAAAUUGAAAACUAGUAAGUUAUGCAAAUUAGAAAUGUAUAAUAUUACUGCUUUGAAAGUGAUGGUGAAAUGUAGAAUAAUUGGAAGGAUAACACAAAGCACUUAUACCAGGAGGCUUUUAGCUGCAGAUAAUAGAAAUGAACCUCCACUACUUUAAUCAAUAAAAAAGUGUAUCAGCUCACAAAUUUGUCAUCCAGACAUAAAGGAGGCUUCAGAAUUUAUUGACUCAGGAGUUGAAUGUUGGUAUCAAGGACCUAGAUUUUUCUCAUCACUCUGCACUUCAAUUCUCAAUGCCCUAUUGAACAUCAGGCUGUAGUAAGAUGGCUAGAGUGAUUCCAGGGAUAACAUCUAGAGAUAAAAAAGAGAACUCCUUUUCUUAUGAUUUUUUUCUUAAGAGAAAAGGAAUUUCCCAAAAGCCCCCAGCAAGCAUGCCUUCACAUCCCAUGGCCAGAAGUGGCUCACAUGUGUACCCUGAGCUAAGCACUGCAGACAGGAAUGGAAUCGCCUGUAGGCCUCAGAGACCACCUGGAUCUUGGGAAGGUGUCAGCUCUACCUGUGGCACUUGGCUGAGUGGGAAAGGGAUGGAAACAUGAAUAAAGUAAGAAUUAGGAAGGAAAAGGAGAAAUGGAUCCAGGGUAUGAAGCCAAUAGUUUAGUUAUCUCAACAAAUAUGAUUGAUUUCAUCUUUAUGAAUGUGAUGACCUAAUUUAAUACAUUCAAUCAAUGAAGUAAAAAAAAGUGCAAGGACAAUAUGACAUCUGUCAUUCUCUGUUGAGAUUUGAGAGGUAAUAAUACCAAGAACGUGUGGUGACCUGGGUCCUCACUGCUACUGUCUUCCUGUACCUGGACACUUCUAGCAAGAGACUUCAACUUCAGAACAAAGAGGAUCCCAACUUGUAGCUGCAUUAUACACACCCCAGCAGCACACAUAAGUUGAUUUCUAAUUAUUCCUCUUUAAGAAAUUGUUUGUGGAAUAUUUAUCUAUUUAUAAAUGGAAAAAUAGAAAAUU
This 3454-nucleotide long non-coding RNA is filed under the name Homo sapiens (human). RNAcentral's name for it is "non-protein coding LINC00909:3". The record is from RNAcentral. Lineage: Eukaryota; Metazoa; Chordata; Mammalia; Primates; Hominidae.